AUAUGCCCAACAUAAAUAACAUUCAAGUAAGUUACCUUUUCCAAUAAUACACAAAAGAAAUACAAGCGUUCAACAAUUACAUUUGAGUUGCCUUUUUUCAAAUGCAAAACUAUAUACAUACACAUGUAGUUUUAUAUAUAUAUAUAUCUGUCAACAGAAUUCCACAAAUUAACCCCUAGAACUGACAGACAUCUUCAUUAACUGCUAAUCUUGUGGUAAUCUAAAAACUACAUCUUUAAAUCCAGAUUGUAUUUUCUCGAUGGCGCUUAAUCCAAUACAAACCUGGCCCUCGGAUGUCUUAUCUAGCUUAUCUGUGGUCAAUAAUAUCGAAGGCCUUUUUCAAGUCGAUGUACUGUAGAUGCUGAUUGUAUCUUUGAGCUCCAUCCUGGUUCUCUAUGAAGGCAAGCUUUGUGCUUCACUCCUUUGUCUUCACAUGUUUCCACAGAUGGGAGGAGGUGGCUGUCUGUGGAGGAGGGAUGUCGUGGUUCUGUUCAGAGCUUGGGCUCGUGGCUGCUACUGAAGAUCCCUUACACCAGCUGCCACGUGGAGCUCCUGACGGUAAACGGUAGCCGCUAUCACCAGCUUAAGGUGCGCUACUUGGACCACCUACUGCAGGCCAACGUGACUGCUGUAGCUGCCUGCCAGGAUCCUACAGGGUCCCUGUAUUCAGCAGCACCGCUGGUGAGGUGCAGAGCCACAGAUGUCAUGGUGAAACUGCCGUUAAAAAGCAGCCUGAAGAGGGUCAGAGCUCUGGGUAAAGGUGACGUUGUGGGGUCGGUGCUCACCACCUCCACUAAAGAUGCUGUAUUGGUGCAGAUCUCCACAGCAGAUAAGGAUUCCUUCUUGGAAGUUAUUUAUUUGGACUCUGCUGGUGAAUUAUUCUCCAUGCUGGCUGCCUGUUUGAAAGCAGGAGAGGACACUGAGAGGACGCGUCAGCGGAGAGAUUCACAAUUGCAUAUUAAAGAGGGGUGGGAGUACGAGGAGCAUCCUUGGCAUCAUUCUGACCUUCCGCAGGAGUAUGACCAACACACUGACACUGACAUGUACACUCCCUGUGAGAAUGGGGAAGAUGAAGUGGACUGUACUGAUGAGAC
RNAcentral lists this long non-coding RNA (1094 nucleotides) under Gouania willdenowi (blunt-snouted clingfish). RNAcentral describes it as "lncRNA (ENSGWIG00000007930.1)". The record is from RNAcentral. Lineage: Eukaryota; Metazoa; Chordata; Actinopteri; Blenniiformes; Gobiesocidae.